Non-coding RNA from Hypoxylon sp. FL1150, 96 nucleotides. The record is from the annotation of a GenBank genome assembly. Lineage: Eukaryota; Fungi; Ascomycota; Sordariomycetes; Xylariales; Hypoxylaceae.
UCCGAAUUGGUGUAGUGGCUAACAUUUGGCGCUCUCAUGAUUGCAAACGCAACACGGCGACCCGCCAAGCCCGGGGUUCGAUUCCCCGAUUCGGAG